RNAcentral lists this small RNA (214 nucleotides) under Marmota monax (woodchuck). Lineage: Eukaryota; Metazoa; Chordata; Mammalia; Rodentia; Sciuridae. The record is from RNAcentral.
GCUGGGCAUGGUGGUGCAUGCCUGUAAUCUCAGCAGCUCAAGAGGCUGGGGAGGAGGAUUGCCAAGUUCAAGGCCAGUCUUGGCAAUUUAUCGAGGCUCUAAACAACUUGAUAAGACUCAAGUCUCAAAAAAUAAAAAGGGCUGGGGAUGCUGCUCAGUGGUAGAGCGUCCCUGGGUUAAAUCCCAGGUACUGAAAGGAAAGCCCUUUUCUUUU